Molecule: long non-coding RNA, 1608 nt
Filed under: Bos taurus (domestic cattle)
Lineage: Eukaryota; Metazoa; Chordata; Mammalia; Artiodactyla; Bovidae
Description: long non-coding RNA NONBTAT022019
Source: RNAcentral
AUCUAUUCAUACCAUUUAUUGUGUACAUGCUACAUGCAAAGCAUAAAUAUGGAUUAAAAUAAAAUAAUUGUGACAAUAUUUUCAAAUAUAUUAUGUUUCCGGGACAUUCUGAUAGGCAAAUACCAUAAAGGAGGGAUUCUCCUGAGAAUCAGCCUAUCCCAUGAACAUUAUUUUUUCCCUUGAUGACUUAAUAGAAACCUCUUGUCCCCCAAAAAGAAAAACCAAGAGAACUUGUUUGUAUCACUGCAGCCAUUUAUUUAUUAUGUGCACAUUAAGGUUUAUAUACUGAUUAUAUUUCUCAUGUGGUUUUUAAUUAGAAAAUGUAUCCAAAAGCAAAAUAGCAUGGACAUAUACAAACUGAAAAAUGCACAGAAACAGAAGGUAGAGACUAAUGCAUACGGUAAAUGAUAUAUUGAGAAUCCAAACCCAUAACCUUAAAACAUCUGGGGGUUGAAGGAGGACAAACUGAAGACACAUCAAAUUGUGUAAAAUCAGUGUGUUUUCCCUUCCCUUAUGUCUGAAAAGCCUCUCCUUUCAAUAGCAAUAACUAAACCCCAAAUAUCACCAAAAUGUUAACAUAACUCUAGAUUCACACUUGAACAGGGAAGAGUAUUUUCUAUAGUAACAGUCCUUGAAAACGGUACCACGGAUACUGUUUUUGUUAUAAUCAUUUUUAAACAUAAUGCUGUUUUGAAGAUUUAAACUCUAAUUUCUGCUUGUCUUUUGCACAGUGACGAAUGAUCAGGUUUUAAUUUUAGUUGCUAACUAUAACGUGAAUCAAUAGGAAAUACGAAUGCGACAAGCACAUGUAGAGGGCAUUAUUUUUAGACAGCUUCUUCAGUGAGCAACAUUUUGUCCUUGUAGACAUGCUGAACAUUUAGAAACUGGGGAACCAAGUAGGGGAUGUUUUAGAAUCAUAUACUGUGAUUUUAAUCUGUAUUAUUCUAAGCAUAACAUUCCAAAAUAUACAUCGAGAGAGAUUAAAAGUAAUGCUCUACAAUAAGGAGGUAACAAUUCAAAAAUGCUACUGACAUGGAAUAUUUAUAAUCAGAAAAAUAAAUAUUCUGGGAGCUCACCAAAAGAAUAAAGUGCUCUGCCAGUUAUUAAAAGAUUAAUGCUGGUGUAUUAAAUAUGGCAUUCCCCACUAUAAAAUACAGAGAUUCUUCUGGGUUAUAGUCAGUACUUAUUUCACAGGAUUAACUGUUUUAAAAAUAGACAGAAGAAGGCUUUGCCAUAGAAGCAAAGGACAAAAGACAGGACAAAGCCAUAGACAAAAUCAUGUUAGGAAGUGACAUUAUUCUUUUAGGGAUAAAAUUUAGAGAAAUGCAACAUUAUGCUCCAUGAAUAAUAUGCAGAAAGCAAAGUGUAAUUAAAAACAAAAUCCUUAAUAUAACUUUAUAAGAAAUCCAGAUCAAAUAAAAUUCUUUGAACAAAAUACCCAAAUGCCAUUCCAAUGCUGCUGACUUAUCAAAUAUCUGGGCAUAUAAUCUGUAAAGUGAAGUCGCUCAGUCAUGUCCGACUCUUAGCAACCUCAUGGGCUGUAGCCUGCCAGGCCCCUUUGUCCAUGAGGUUUUCCAGGGAAGAAUACAGGAGUGGGCCCAUGGAUUG